CAGACAGCAGCAUCUGCAGGCAUGGGGAAUGUUCUGUCCUUUCUAGAUGUUGAAAUGGCUAUCCAGAUAGACAGACAGCGAACAGCAAAUGAGAAUGGUUUUCAACUCUUCUUUAAUCCAGUUGAGUCAGAGCCCUGUCACUAUUGUUUUCCAACGAUGUAGCCCGAACAUCUAUUACAGGAUUACAGCCUUUUUUGUACAAAGGUUAUGAGUACGCGAAUACACAAUAAUAAUUAGAGGAAGAAAACAUACGCAGAAGAAAAGUCUACCUGUACCUACCUGUGCGGAGCGGAGGCUGGCUGUGGGCGGAGCAGGGACGGCUCAACGCGCACAUGGGUACGCUCGGUUUGAGUCCGAGGAACACCAGCUGGGUGGAGCUUGCAAUUCUCGACUGCUCGCUUAUUAAUAGAUUAUCCACGUAUUUGUGCCGCAAUACAGCAGGUGAAGGUCCAUCAUUUGCCUGUUCAACCACAAGGAGCUGAUCCUGCUGUUGUUUUUUUUGGAGGAACAACCUGCGUGCUCACCGCCAGGGUCAUUUUGUUAACAUUAACUGGAAUUCAUAUCUAAGCAGAAUAAAUCAUAUCAUCUUGGGAAUAAAUAUAUUGGGUGUGAGCCAGAUAGUCACAUCUAAACCAGGAGUUUAGGGUUAGAAGUUUCUCAGCAAAGUUAAAUAUCAACCUGCUUACUAGACAUAAUCUCUGGGUGUCUGGAGAAGAGUUUAUUGGCAGGGACUUCAAUAGCAGCCAUAUUUAAACUAUGGCUGUUGUUUUUGCUAUAGGCUUCAGACCUGAGGGGGAAAACAAAACAACAACAAAAACUUGGUAUGGAGCCCUGACCCCUUUUCAUUUUGAAUGCCUUGGGUGGCUAAAGAGGACAGAGUCUCUCAGACUGUGCUGAACAUGGUACAUACAUUUUAACAUGGUCCUGUUCCUGUAAUCACCUCACAAAUUAUUUUACACAGGUGAGGAAUGUUCACAGCUACUCCGCUAGGGGACGCUAUACAGUUGCCCAUAGAUUCAAGGGAAACCACUGACAGGAUACUUUGCUGAGUAAAGCUGGCACAUUCAGAGCCAUGUCAGCUUUCAAAGUGCCAGCAUCACAUUUUGUGUUAAACUGCUUUUUCAACGUUGAGAAUGAAAGAUGGCUUGUUAGUGAAAGGUGCAAGGCAUGUUCUGCCUUUUGUGACUCUUUCUACAUGUAUAGAGUCAUUUCUCACAAGUCCCCAGGCACAUGGCUUGAUGAAAAGUUGGCCUUUAAUGUGCAUGUUGAUAACCUCUUCAAAAAGCUAGGCCUAAACUGGGCUUCUUCUUUCAUUUAAAAUGAUCUCUACCUGCAUUGCAUUAUGGCCAUGUGAUUUAUAUGCAUGCAAUUUUACUGACAUUUCCUUAUUUAAAAAAGUAUAUUCUGCAUAUCACACUACAUUACAGUCUGUAACAAGCGCAGGUUGGUCAUGGAUCGAGCUAAGAACAACUCCCGUCUUUGAAUAUUUCUACAGAUCUUUUACAAACCGCUGUGAAGCACACUUGUUAUUUUACAUAAUUUCCUUGAUUUGAGGUGAACUGUGUUUAGAUAUCACUGUGGAUGCCUCCCUUCUUUCACUAUUUCCCUUGUGCUGUUUUUAUAUCCUGUUUUGUUUUGUGUUCUAUCAUGUGAAAUUGUUGUUUAUGUCAAACUAACUGUGCUGCCAUCUUGACCAAGACUCCCUGGAAGAGGAGGUUGUGUAUCACAGUGGGACCUUCCUGGCCAAAU
Long non-coding RNA from Myripristis murdjan (pinecone soldierfish), 1749 nucleotides. RefSeq lists it as uncharacterized. The transcript has 3 exons. NCBI's taxonomy places the organism in Eukaryota, Metazoa, Chordata, Actinopteri, Holocentriformes, Holocentridae. The record is from RefSeq and is a predicted model, not a curated record.